GAAAUGCGAUAACUAGUGUGAAUAGCAGAAUUCCGUGAAUCAUCGAGUCUUUGAACGCACAUUGCGCCCCCUGGUAUUCCGGGGGGCAUGCCUGUCCGAGCGUCAUUGCUGCCCAUCAAGCACGGCUUGUGUGUUGGGUCAUCGUCCCCUCUCCGGGGGGGACGGGCCCCAAAGGCAGCGGCGGCACCGCGUCCGAUCCUCGAGCGUAUGGGGCUUUGUCACCCGCUCUGUAGGCCCGGCCGGCGCUUGCCGAACGCAAAUCAAUCUUUUUCCAGGUUGACCUCGGAUCAGGUAGGGAUACCCGCUGAACUUAAGC
Molecule: unclassified non-coding RNA, 316 nt
Filed under: plant metagenome
Description: partial contains 5.8S ribosomal RNA, internal transcribed spacer 2, and large subunit ribosomal RNA
Rfam family: 5.8S ribosomal RNA (bases 1-105)
Source: RNAcentral